GCAACAAUCAUAAAAAAACCAUAUCAUUUGUCUGAAAAUACAAAUAAAUAAAAUAAAAUAAUUAAAAAUCAUAUUAUACAUUAAUAUACCACCAUUCAAACAAAACCUAAGAGUAAGUUUGCCCCUCCAUCAACUCUUUUAAGUUUUCAAAUAAAUAAGAGAUCAUGAUUCUAUCUAAGAAGAAAUCAUGAUGAAACAUUCAAGCGACUAACGACGAGAGAUCUAUGUGCGAAUCCUCCAAGAAACCUAAGGGUGUACUUGGAACAUCCCAUACAUCAAAAGAAUAUAAGAAUCAAAUAUCAUUUCAUUUCGUUCAUAUUUUCCAUAUACAUCCUACCUCAUGAAAUAUUUACUCCUGCUAUGUAUGAAAAUGAUAACAUUUGUAAAUCAAAUGAAAAGUCCGCAACGAUAACAUACAAAUAUGUCCUAUCUCUGCUUUACAAAUUGUAACUCUGUUAAACCUGUAAAUAUACUAAGUAUUCGUCAACAGUAAAGCUAAGUCUGCUCACAUUUUGAAUCAUAGCUUGGUUCUGGGAGCUCUUGGAUUUGUUGCUGCUUAACCGUCUCUGUAAUAUAAUAAAGGAAUGAGCUACGAAGCCCAGCAAGGUCGAUUUAGAACUAAAAACCAACUUACUGAAAUAAGAGAACAUAAAUCCCUACUUUUUUCAAUAUUUUUGUGCACUCAUAACACCAAACACCCAUUUGUUCCCUCUCUCUUACAACCCCUAUUCUUCUAUCUACUGCAUGCUAAAAUCCACUCAAAAUCCCAUAACAGCACUCCCUUUACUCCACCCAGAAUUCACCCAGAAAUCUAUAAAACCCUNN
This 825-nucleotide long non-coding RNA is filed under the name Carica papaya (papaya). RNAcentral describes it as "long non-coding RNA (CPAP_LNC001095)". The record is from RNAcentral. Lineage: Eukaryota; Viridiplantae; Streptophyta; Magnoliopsida; Brassicales; Caricaceae.